CCUACGGGAGACAGCAGUGAGGAAUAGUGGUCAAUGGCCGGAAGGCUGAACCAGCCAAGCCGCGUGAAGGACGAAGGUGCCAAGCAGUGUAAACUUCUUUUGUCAAGGGACAAAAUCAGGCGCGAGAGCCGGACCGAGGGUACUUGAAGAAAAAGCAUCGGCUAACUCCGUGCCAGCAGCCGCGGUAAUACGGAGGAUGCGAGCGUUAUCCGGAUUUAUUGGGUUUAAAGGGUGCGUAGGCGGACUGGUAAGGCAGCGGUAAAAGCCCGGGGCUCAACCCCGGCGAGCCGUUGAAACUGGCUGUCUUGAGCUGUCGAGAGGUAUGCGGACUGCGCCGUGUAGCGG
This 345-nucleotide ribosomal RNA is filed under the name uncultured bacterium. RNAcentral's name for it is "partial 16S ribosomal RNA". It matches the Rfam family "Bacterial small subunit ribosomal RNA", at positions 338 to 681 of the family's 1533-position model. The record is from RNAcentral.